UCUGGUGUCAGCCGCCGCGGUAAAACCAGCACCUCAAGUGGUCAGGAUGAUUAUUGGGCCUAAAGCAUCCGUAGCCUGCUUUGUUAGUUUUCGGUUAAAUCCAUACGCUCAACGUAUGGGCUGCCGGGAAUACUGCAAAGCUAGGGAGUGGGAGAGGUAGACGGUACUCGGUAGGAAGGGGUAAAAUCCUUUGAUCUAUUGAUGACCACCUGUGGCGAAGGCGGUCUACCAGAACACGUCCGACGGUGAGGGAUGAAAGCUGGGGGAGCAAACCGGAUUAGAUACCCGGGUAGUCCCAGCUGUAAACUAUGCGAACUCGGUGAUGCAUUAGCUUGAUGCCAAUGCAGUGCCGCAGGGAAGCCGUUAAGUUUGCCGCCUGGGAAGUACGUACGCAAGUAUGAAACUUAAAG
This 410-nucleotide ribosomal RNA is filed under the name uncultured Nitrososphaerota archaeon. Its description in RNAcentral is "bacterial SSU rRNA". It matches the Rfam family "Archaeal small subunit ribosomal RNA", at positions 451 to 861 of the family's 1478-position model. The record is from RNAcentral. Lineage: Archaea; Thermoproteati; Nitrososphaerota.